Molecule: small nuclear RNA, 85 nt
Filed under: Canis lupus familiaris (dog)
Lineage: Eukaryota; Metazoa; Chordata; Mammalia; Carnivora; Canidae
Source: RNAcentral
GUACUCACUUCGGCAGCAUGUAUACUAAAACUGAAACAAUAUAGAGAAGAUUAGCAUGACCUCUAUGCAAGGAUGACGCACUAAA